This 498-nucleotide ribosomal RNA is filed under the name uncultured bacterium. RNAcentral describes it as "bacterial SSU rRNA". It matches the Rfam family "Bacterial small subunit ribosomal RNA", at positions 30 to 524 of the family's 1533-position model. The record is from RNAcentral.
AUUGAACGCUGGCGACAGGCCUAACACAUGCAAGUCGAGCGCGAAAGUCUUCGGAUGAGUAAAGCGGCGAACGGGUGAGUAAUGCAUGGGAAUCUGCCUGGUAGUGGGGGACAACGUCUCGAAAGGGACGCUAAUACCGCAUACGCCCUACGGGGGAAAGGGGGGGAUCUUCGGACCUCUCGCUAUCAGAUGAGCCCAUGUCAGAUUAGCUAGUUGGUGAGGUAAAGGCUCACCAAGGCGACGAUCUGUAACUGGUCUGAGAGGAUGAUCAGUCACACUGGAACUGAGACACGGUCCAGACUCCUACGGGAGGCAGCAGUGGGGAAUAUUGGACAAUGGGGGCAACCCUGAUCCAGCCAUGCCGCGUGUGUGAAGAAGGCCCUAGGGUUGUAAAGCACUUUCAGUGGGGAGAAAGGUUAUUCACCUAAUACGUGAGUAGAUUGAUGUUACCCACAGAAGAAGCACCGGGCUAAACUCCGUGCCAGCAGCCGCGGUAAU